This 350-nucleotide long non-coding RNA is filed under the name Struthio camelus australis. Its description in RNAcentral is "lncRNA (ENSSCUG00000006665.1)". The record is from RNAcentral. Lineage: Eukaryota; Metazoa; Chordata; Aves; Struthioniformes; Struthionidae.
GGUUGUUUUGUUUUGUUUUGUUUUGUUUUUCAUCUUUGCAGCUGCCUGUAACCUGAAGAGAACUUGUUCCUAAAAACCUGCUUUUUAUCCCUAGGUACCAGAAGUGAAAUCAUUGUGAUUAGCAACUAGAGGAAUGUUCUACAAGAGGAGAAACAGCGCAAACAAGGUUAUUCCUAGAGGAGUCAUCGUCUGGUGCUUUGCACAAUGUAGGAAACAGAGAUGACAAACAGGCAGACAUGGUAGCUGCACCUCCCAGCUGUACUGUUGGAGCACCUGCUGAGCACCUGAGGACUUCCUCCAGCAAUUACAUUUGGUUGCAAAGCAUGAAUUGGUUUUACUUGGGCAGGUGA